RNAcentral lists this ribosomal RNA (256 nucleotides) under uncultured bacterium. RNAcentral describes it as "partial 16S ribosomal RNA". It matches the Rfam family "Bacterial small subunit ribosomal RNA", at positions 336 to 608 of the family's 1533-position model. The record is from RNAcentral.
CUCCUACGGGGGGCAGCAGUGGGGAAUAUUGCACAAUGGGGGAAACCCUGAUGCAGCAACGCCGCGUGAGUGAAGAAGUAUUUCGGUAUGUAAAGCUCUAUCAGCAGGGAAGAAGAAAGACGGUACCUGACUAAGAAGCCCCGGCUAACUACGUGCCAGCAGCCGCGGUAAUACGUAGGGGGCAAGCGUUAUCCGGAUUUACUGGGUGUAAAGGGAGCGUAGACGGCAUAGCAAGUCUGAAGUGAAAGCCCGUGGC